AGUGAACGCUGGCGGUAGGCCUAACACAUGCAAGUCGAACGGCAGCACAGAGGAGCUUGCUCCUUGGGUGGCGAGUGGCGGACGGGUGAGGAAUACAUCGGAAUCUACUCUGUCGUGGGGGAUAACGUAGGGAAACUUACGCUAAUACCGCAUACGACCUACGGGUGAAAGCAGGGGAUCUUCGGACCUUGCGCGAUUGAAUGAGCCGAUGUCGGAUUAGCUAGUUGGCGGGGUAAAGGCCCACCAAGGCGACGAUCCGUAGCUGGUUUGAGAGGAUGAUCAGCCACACUGGAAGUGAGACACGGACCAGACUCCUACGGGAGGCAGCAGUGGGGAAUAUUGGACAAUGGGCGCAAGCCUGAUCCAGACAUACCGCGUGGGUGAAGAAGGCCUUCGGGUUGUAAAGCCCUUUUGUUGGGAAAGAAAUCCAUCUGGUUAAUACCCGGGUGGGAUGACGGUACCCAAAGAAUAAGCACCGGCCAACUUCGUGCCAGCCGCCGCCGUAA
This 506-nucleotide ribosomal RNA is filed under the name uncultured bacterium. Its description in RNAcentral is "partial 16S ribosomal RNA". It matches the Rfam family "Bacterial small subunit ribosomal RNA", at positions 29 to 523 of the family's 1533-position model. The record is from RNAcentral.